Molecule: ribosomal RNA, 328 nt
Filed under: Blastocystis sp. subtype 15
Lineage: Eukaryota; Bigyra; Opalinata; Blastocystidae
Description: SSU rRNA
Rfam family: Eukaryotic small subunit ribosomal RNA
Source: RNAcentral
GAUUAAGCCAUGCAUGUGUAAGUAUAAAUAAUUAUAUAGUGAAACUGCGAAUGGCUCAUUAUAUCAGUUAUAGUUUAUUUGAUAAUUAAUUUGAAAUUUCUUUUGAAAUUUUAAUACUAAUUGGAUAACCGUAGUAAUUCUAGAGCUAAUACAUGAAUUAAAAUCCUAACUUUUAUGGAAAGGAUGUAUUUAUUAGAUGAUAAAACCAAUAUAAUUAAUAAGGUGAAUCAUAAUAAUUAAUCGAAUCGUAUGGUUGUAAAAUACUAACGAUAAAUCAUUCAAGUUUCUGCCCUAUCAGCUUUCGAUGGUAGUGUAUUGGACUACCAUG